CGCGUGCACUCCUGUAAAGCGCUACCGCACCCUUCCUCCCCCCUUCUCCCAUUUCAGCGCUCCACAGCUCACUCUCCUACACCCGCUCGACUGUCCACCCUAAUCACUCCACAUCGACUUACCUUUGUGUCUGCGCAUACCGUUACAUCCGCGUCUCUCGCUACCGCCAGCUGCAAUGCCCGUCUUGGAAACAGGUGAGCAGAGCGUGAAGUCAGCCUACCACUGCGCGACCCUGCUCGACAACUGGGAUGAGGACCGCCGUCAGUUCGGUCAGCCGGUCCCCGCCACCAGCGGCACUGGCGAUUUUGACCCAAGCACAACCUACAACGCAUCGUACAAGUCACUGACAGCCGCACAAACCGCGGAGGCGAAGCCGCCCGGCUGCUUUGCCGCCGAAGCGCCACGCAUGCUUCUCUUCCACCACGGCGACAUUGGCAACAUCGAGACCUACUGCUACGCAACGUCUGAGCUGGCGCUCCCGGACCGGAAAAGGCAAGUCUACACCAACGACGAAGUGCUCGACAUGCCCGGCGUCUCGACGCGUCGUAACAAGACGGCGGCGCUGCAGCGGUCUACGAUGGGCUUUACCGUCAGCUGCAGCGGGCACGGUGGCACCUUAACGAACGGCUUCUGCGCCGAUGAGGUUUCCGCAGCGGUGCAGCGAGAGGUAGCCUACCUCCAGUCCAUGGCCAGUACUAUGCUCUCCACCCGGUACUCCACAGGUGACGCGCAGACCUCCACAAGUGACUCUGGCGGCGAGAGGGCCGCGGCAAAUAGCGGAAGCAAAUACGCGCCACCGCGGCUGCUGCCAAUGGGCCGCGUUGCGGAGCGAGAGCGGUUGCUCACCACCAAAAACGUCUCUAUCGACGCCACUGGGGUGUACGUGUUUGACAACUUAGAGGCCUACCCGCUGACAAGCAGCCAGUGCGUCGGCAAGAUGACCAAGUCGUGCGACAACCCAAUGCACAAGACGUGCCUUCGCGUCCACUACAUGGAGGAUGACUACUAGCCGCAGGGAAAAGCGCCAGGGCUGUCGCGGUGCACACAGCGCGACUUCUGGCUGUUUUUUGUUUCGUCUGUGACGUGUCUCCGUGGAGCUUCACCCUUCGGCGCGCGGACCGUGCCCCCUCCUCGCGGGGUUCCGCAGAAGCCUCUCCCCGGGCUUGCAUGCCCUCUACCUCUCGUUGUUGUUGGUCUGCAUCGCCGCCUUUGGAGUGUGCGCCCGCUGUUGUGGCGUUUUUCCAGCAAUCUCUUUUUUGUCUGUGUUUAUUUGAUGUACACUACCUCACUGGGCCACAUUGGGCCUAUGUGAGUCGUGCCCCCCUUCUCAUGUGGUGUUUCCUUCAAGACUACUCUGUGCCGGUGCCCGUGCUACCGCGAAUGAAAGCGGAGAGCAGAAAUUCGGAAUGCCGCGUAUGUGCGGCUUCUGCUCUCCAUUAGAACCGCCUUCAUCUUCGCUUUCUUGAUAUGCGUAUGCCAAGAUCUUUCUCCGCCGCUUGGGCAAUACG
This 1508-nucleotide unclassified non-coding RNA is filed under the name Leishmania donovani. Its description in RNAcentral is "gene:LdHU3.34.2330(CDS-product:hypothetical_prote in_conserved)". The record is from RNAcentral. Lineage: Eukaryota; Euglenozoa; Kinetoplastea; Trypanosomatida; Trypanosomatidae.